GACGAACGCUGGCGGCGUGCUUAACACAUGCAAGUCGAGCGGUAAGGCCCUUCGGGGUAUACGAGCGGCGAACGGGUGAGGAACACGUGGGUGACCUGCCCCCCACUCUGGGAUAAGCACGGGAACCCGGACCUAAUACUGGAUAUGACCCCCGCAUGCAUGUGCGGAGGUGGAAAGCUCUGGCGGUGGGGGAUGGGGCCGCGGACUAUCAUCUGGUUGGUGCGGUGAUGGCCUACGCAGGCGACGAGGGAUAGCCCGCCUGAGAUGGUGAACGGCCAAGCUGGGACUGAGACACGGCCCGGACUCGUGCGGCGGGCAGCAGUGGGGAGUCUUGCGGAAGGGGCGGAUACUCGACGCUGCGACGCCGCGUGGGGGAGCACGGCCGUGGGGGUGUAAACGUCUUUCGCGUUCGACGGAGCUCGUACUUCUGGUGCGAGUGACGGUAGGUGGAGAAGAAGCACCGGCCAACUACGUG
This 475-nucleotide ribosomal RNA is filed under the name uncultured bacterium. RNAcentral's name for it is "partial 16S ribosomal RNA". It matches the Rfam family "Bacterial small subunit ribosomal RNA", at positions 28 to 507 of the family's 1533-position model. The record is from RNAcentral.